Molecule: non-coding RNA, 3761 nt
Organism: Ictidomys tridecemlineatus (thirteen-lined ground squirrel)
Lineage: Eukaryota; Metazoa; Chordata; Mammalia; Rodentia; Sciuridae
Source: RefSeq, a predicted model, not a curated record
CUAGAAUAUACGAGCCACCCCCACAUCUCCCCUCACUCCCCGGUUCCCCAGCGCCUGUUGCUAAGGAGGCUAGACGGCACUAGGCAAGCCUAGCGACCAGGUGACAGCCCGCUGGAGGAGCUCUGAGCACGAGGGCGGCUGUGAGAGCAGGGCUCUAGGCCAGCCCGGGACCCCUUCUGCAGGCAGGGUGCGCCCUCCGCAAGGUUCCAACGCCUGCAACACCCCCAUACACACUCAGCAUGUGGAGGAAGCCGGGUUAGCAAAAGGCCCGCUCCCAGGAGCGCGGCUCCCUUCCCGGGCCCAGGAAACUCCGCCGGGUUCCGGAGGCCUCUGGCCCAGCACUGUGGAUGCCAGUGGGCCCAGACAGCAGGGUAGGACCUCAGAGACAGCCUUGGGAAGGGCAGGCACUCACCAUGUUGACUUCAGAAACCAUGUCGAUGCUGGCGAUGUCGAUGUUCAUCCCCACGCAGACUGGGGGACCUGCGGGAAGCGCACCACACGGUGAUCAGCCAGGCUCCGAUAUUUUCCUUAUAUUGGAAGAAGACAAGGCACAGAGAUCUUAAAUUUAUCUUUGCAAGUUCAACCUGUCUGUAUCUCCUCAAUGAACCCACUUCAUGUCACUUCGUGUUGAAUAUUUUAAAAAUUACGGUUGGUUCAACACUUAUCAGUUCCUGAGAUAAGAAGAUCUCUAAAAGAUGUGGAACCAGGGAAAUGGAGAAGGGGAACCUGGCCACUUCCUUUAUCUUCAGUCCUUGGGAGAGGAUCUGAAGAGUUAAGUUGGUUGUUAAGUAAAACAAUGUACUCAUAAAACAUCUGACGAAAGCCAUGUGUGCAGUGGGCGUGCAACCAAUUCUAUAUAUUCCCCUGCUUGUAGGCACCAUGCAAUUCUCCAUUGCAUCCCAGCCUGCCACCAUUGAGGAAUGUAAGUUAUAAAAUGUCUAAAACUUGACUGCUAAGUCCUCUAAGUUCUCUCUUUGGGAUCAGUAAACAGUAUGCUUGGGACCUUUGCAGCCUUGGGGUUAACAAAUAAUCACAGACAUGGGAAGAUUCUUCGAAUGAUGAAACCUUUGAGUCCACCAAAGUGAAAUCCUCAUCAUUAAGUGAUGCCUGACUGUAUAUAAGCAGCCUCUCCUCGCCCCCUUCUUUUUUAAAAAAUGUUUCUCCAAUAGAAUGUAGACUCAAUGAGGCAAGCAUUGUUUUGCAUCAAUAAAUGGAAACGCUGCAACGUGGGGAGUUGAAAUGAUUUGAACAAUGUGGCAGAACUAGUAAAUGGAAAUGCCUGGCAUAAAGAGAGUCUCUCCCUGAUUUCCACUAAGAAGAGAUGCCUUAGAGAUAAGAUGGGUAACUGCAUGGAACUCAUAUAGAUCCAGAGCAUGGGAUGAUGUUUUCUGUAGCACUACAAAAAGGUUGCAGUAAGUCAUGUUGUUUUGUGAGGAAGGAAGGUUGUUUGUUUUUAUUGUGGGCUUGAACCUCUCUCCCUUUUAGUGUUAAAGUGCAUCCCACUUAGGUGAGCCAAUACCUGCAUAAACAUGAAGUGACAAGCAUGCUAAAGACUGGUCUGGGGGAACACUUGUAGUCACUGGGGACAUGAGUGAUGUGGGCACACUGUCUUCACAUCCUCACCUUCUUCCUAUGAGACCACCGUCAUUGCCCCAUUUAGAAAUGAAGGAUCGAAAGUCCUCAAUCACUUAGCCAAUGUUACCCAGGUGCAGUAUCAGUGCUUGGACCCAAAUCUGCCUGAUGCCCAAACCUGUACCCCUUCUUCUUCUUCUUCUGGUAGAAACAGCCUAAGGAACUUCCAGAGUCAUUUUAUUAGAGUCACUGUACAACAGCUUCUUACACUGAGUACGUAAUGGAAGACUUCUUGCUUAGUUAGGGAAACCCAUUAUGUUUCUUUUUAACUGUGUGGCUCUUUGAUGUUAAUUUCUUCUAAGCACUUAAGAAGCUCCUUAAUUUAUGCUGGUGUUUGAAUUAGCACAGCAUUAUUUCAAAAGAUGACAGUAAUUCAGAAUUCCAAAGCCUGGAAAACAUUCAAUCAAAACAAAACCAAAAGCCUGCAAAGGUAACAUUGCAUUGGGUGGUACCUUUCCUUUGAAAAAGGCAAGGGAAUAACUCCUCUACCCAUCCAUAAACGUGCUUUCUACAGAAACAGAUAUCAUUCCAAAUUUUAUGAUACUUGGAAAAAAAAAGAAAAACUUGCAUGGCUUGCUAAAUCAAUGGAGCUUGAUGUAAACCUGAUGUCAUUUCAUUCAGGAAUUAACUCAUUUUUCUGUGUUUGAAAUUUCAAACAAGCAAGGCCUGACCUCAUCCAAACUCUGCAGAUACAUUUUUCACCUAAGACACCCAUUCUCCAGAAUAAUAACUUUGUUGGAAAAAUGAGUAUAGGCGAAUCUCAUAUUGUUAUGGAAGCACCAGGAACACUCUCACUUAUGUUUUGUCCAGGACAAUAUACAGUACAAAAAGGAGUCAAUUUCCUUCUUCCCUUACCAUUUGUCAAUCCAGAGCUGAUUGUUUUUCUUUCCAAGGAAGGCGCCUUUCACAUUGAUGUGAUUGAAAUUCCUCUGCAGAAUUUCUCUUGGUUCUUGGUAAGACCUUGAUGGAGUACCCUACUCUUUUUGAAUUAUUAAUCCAUCAAAUAGUUUAAUGCACUGGUGAGGUUACAGCUCUCAUGGCCCAAUCGUUUCCUAAAAUCCCCACAUCUGCCAUGCAUACUGUGAUUUCAACACAUGAGCAUUUUGGAAGAUAUUCCAGAUCCAAACCACGGCAGUGCUUAUAUGUGUUGUUUCCUUCUAUUUUUGAGAACACUUUUGUUAAAACUAAACAUGUAAAACAAAAAUAUUUACUUCAACAAUUUAUUAUAAAGCUAAUUUAACAUCUACUCUAUCAGGAAAUACUGGUAUGUAUAUUCUUGUUUUCCAUCAAUUUAUAUUAAUCUUUUCUCACAAAUGACUUCUAAAUUAAAUUUUUUGUUUCAUUUAUUUUUGCUCUUGCAUUUAUUAUUGUCUUUCCUAUUUACUAUGCAGCUACUUGCUUUUAAAAGCAUCAAUGAAAAAUUCUAGCUUCUAAAGUGAAUUCUUGGGAAAAUAAAAUUUGUUUAUCUGAUUUAUCAUUAUUGGUCCUGGGGAUUGAAUCUAGUGCUUCAUGUGUGGUCAGUAUGUAUACUACCACUAAGUUACAAGCACAGGCUAGGAAACUUAAAAUUAUAAGAACCACUUAAAGUUAUAAAUUUUCCUGUAAGGACCACUUUAACCCACAGAUUUUAAUAUAUUUUUAUGAUCACUCAAUUUAAGUUAUUUUUUAAAUGGUCUUUUUGAUUUCUUUUCUGAACUGCAAAACACAAAGAAAUGUGUUUUCAAUUUCCAAAUAUUUAGAGGCAUUACCAGAAAUCUUUUAGCUCUUCACUUCCAAUUUAAUUUCAUGUUGACAGAGAACAUAUUCUGUAUGAUUCAAUUCUUUUGAACUACUGAGACUUGUUUAGCCCAGCAUACACUAUAUUUUGGUGAAGUAGUAUGUACAAUAUAAAAAUUAAAAAAGAGGGUACUUUCUGAAGAUUUUGGCUGCAAUGUUAUGUUAAUAUAAUUAAGUCAAGAUGGCCUAUAGCAUUGGUAACUUGCAUGUUGCUGACAUAUUGAAGUGAAAAUUAGUUUUAUAUAUUAAUCUUCUAUUCAGCAAUUAUUAAACCUAUUUGCUAUUUCUAAUAAUUUAUCUCUGUAUUCUUUUGGAUUUUCUGUGUACAUAGUAAUAAAAUCUAAUUAAAACUA